UUAAGCGACUAAGCGUACACGGUGGAUGCCCUGGCAGUCAGAGGCGAUGAAGGACGUGCUAAUCUGCGAUAAGCGUCGGUAAGGUGAUAUGAACCGUUAUAACCGGCGAUUUCCGAAUGGGGGAAACCCAGUGUGUUUCGACACACUAUCAUUAACUGAAUCCAUAGGUUAAUGAGGCGAACCGGGGGAACUGAAACAUCUAAGUACCCCGAGGAAAAGAAAUCAACCGAGAUUCCCCCAGUAGCGGCGAGCGAACGGGGAGGAGCCCAGAGCCUGAAUCAGUGUGUGUGUUAGUGGAAGCGUCUGGAAAGGCGCGCGAUACAGGGUGACAGCCCCGUACACAAAAAUGCACAUGCUGUGAGCUCGAUGAGUAGGGCGGGACACGUGGUAUCCUGUCUGAAUAUGGGGGGACCAUCCUCCAAGGCUAAAUACUCCUGACUGACCGAUAGUGAACCAGUACCGUGAGGGAAAGGCGAAAAGAACCCCGGCGAGGGGAGUGAAAAAGAACCUGAAACCGUGUACGUACAAGCAGUGGGAGCCUCUUUAUGGGGUGACUGCGUACCUUUUGUAUAAUGGGUCAGCGACUUAUAUUCUGUAGCAAGGUUAACCGAAUAGGGGAGCCGAAGGGAAACCGAGUCUUAACUGGGCGUUAAGUUGCAGGGUAUAGACCCGAAACCCGGUGAUCUAGCCAUGGGCAGGUUGAAGGUUGGGUAACACUAACUGGAGGACCGAACCGACUAAUGUUGAAAAAUUAGCGGAUGACUUGUGGCUGGGGGUGAAAGGCCAAUCAAACCGGGAGAUAGCUGGUUCUCCCCGAAAGCUAUUUAGGUAGCGCCUCGUGAAUUCAUCUCCGGGGGUAGAGCACUGUUUCGGCAAGGGGUCAUCCCGACUUACCAACCCGAUGCAAACUGCGAAUACCGGAGAAUGUUAUCACGGGAGACACACGGCGGGUGCUAACGUCCGUCGUGAAGAGGGAAACAACCCAGACCGCCAGCUAAGGUCCCAAAGUCAUGGUUAAGUGGGAAACGAUGUGGGAAGGCCCAGACAGCCAGGAUGUUGGCUUAGAAGCAGCCAUCAUUUAAAGAAAGCGUAAUAGCUCACUGGUCGAGUCGGCCUGCGCGGAAGAUGUAACGGGGCUAAACCAUGCACCGAAGCUGCGGCAGCGACACUAUGUGUUGUUGGGUAGGGGAGCGUUCUGUAAGCCUGUGAAGGUGUACUGUGAGGUAUGCUGGAGGUAUCAGAAGUGCGAAUGCUGACAUAAGUAACGAUAAAGCGGGUGAAAAGCCCGCUCGCCGGAAGACCAAGGGUUCCUGUCCAACGUUAAUCGGGGCAGGGUGAGUCGACCCCUAAGGCGAGGCCGAAAGGCGUAGUCGAUGGGAAACAGGUUAAUAUUCCUGUACUUGGUGUUACUGCGAAGGGGGGACGGAGAAGGCUAUGUUGGCCGGGCGACGGUUGUCCCGGUUUAAGCGUGUAGGCUGGUUUUCCAGGCAAAUCCGGAAAAUCAAGGCUGAGGCGUGAUGACGAGGCACUACGGUGCUGAAGCAACAAAUGCCCUGCUUCCAGGAAAAGCCUCUAAGCAUCAGGUAACAUCAAAUCGUACCCCAAACCGACACAGGUGGUCAGGUAGAGAAUACCAAGGCGCUUGAGAGAACUCGGGUGAAGGAACUAGGCAAAAUGGUGCCGUAACUUCGGGAGAAGGCACGCUGAUAUGUAGGUGAAGCGACUUGCUCGUGGAGCUGAAAUCAGUCGAAGAUACCAGCUGGCUGCAACUGUUUAUUAAAAACACAGCACUGUGCAAACACGAAAGUGGACGUAUACGGUGUGACGCCUGCCCGGUGCCGGAAGGUUAAUUGAUGGGGUUAGCGGUAACGCGAAGCUCUUGAUCGAAGCCCCGGUAAACGGCGGCCGUAACUAUAACGGUCCUAAGGUAGCGAAAUUCCUUGUCGGGUAAGUUCCGACCUGCACGAAUGGCGUAAUGAUGGCCAGGCUGUCUCCACCCGAGACUCAGUGAAAUUGAACUCGCUGUGAAGAUGCAGUGUACCCGCGCAAGACGGAAAGACCCCGUGAACCUUACUAUAGCUUGACACUGAACAUUGAGCCUUGAUGUGUAGGAUAGGUGGGAGGCUUUGAAGUGUGGACGCCAGUCUGCAUGGAGCCGGCCUUGAAAUACCACCCUUUAAUGUUUGAUGUUCUAACGUUGGCCCCUGAUCGGGGUUGCGGACAGUGUCUGGUGGGUAGUUUGACUGGGCGGUCUCCUCCUAAAGAGUAACGGAGGAGCACGAAGGUUGGCUAAUCCUGGUCGGACAUCAGGAGGUUAGUGCAAUGGCAUAAGCCAGCUUGACUGCGAGCGUGACGGCGCGAGCAGGUGCGAAAGCAGGUCAUAGUGAUCCGGUGGUUCUGAAUGGAAGGGCCAUCGCUCAACGGAUAAAAGGUACUCCGGGGAUAACAGGCUGAUACCGCCCAAGAGUUCAUAUCGACGGCGGUGUUUGGCACCUCGAUGUCGGCUCAUCACAUCCUGGGGCUGAAGUAGGUCCCAAGGGUAUGGCUGUUCGCCAUUUAAAGUGGUACGCGAGCUGGGUUUAGAACGUCGUGAGACAGUUCGGUCCCUAUCUGCCGUGGGCGCUGGAGAACUGAGGGGGCUGCUCCUAGUACGAGAGGACCGGAGUGGACGCAUCACUGGUGUUCGGGUUGUCAUGCCAAUGGCACUGCCCGGUAGCUAAAUGCGGAAGAGAUAAGUGCUGAAAGCAUCUAAGCACGAAACUUGCCCCGAGAUGAGUUCUCCCUGAGACUUAGAGUCUCCUGAAGGAACGUUGAAGACGACGACGUUGAUAGGCCGGGUGUGUAAGCGCAGCGAUGCGUUGAGCUAACCGGUACUAAUGAACCGUGAGGCUUAACCUU
Molecule: ribosomal RNA, 2898 nt
Filed under: Escherichia coli
Lineage: Bacteria; Pseudomonadati; Pseudomonadota; Gammaproteobacteria; Enterobacterales; Enterobacteriaceae
Description: bacterial LSU rRNA
Rfam family: Bacterial large subunit ribosomal RNA
Source: RNAcentral